UACGUAGGGCGCAAGCGUUGUCCGGAAUUAUUGGGCGUAAAGAGCGUGUAGGCGGCUAGGUAGGUGGGUUGUGAAAACUGGAGGCUCAACCUUCAGACGUCGACGGAAACCGUCUGGCUAGAGUCCGGAAGAGGAGAGUGGAAUUCCUGGUGUAGCGGUGAAAUGCGCAGAUAUCAGGAAGAACACCGAUGGCGAAGGCAGCUCUCUGGGACGGUACUGACGCUGAGACGCGAAAGCGUGGGGAGCGAACAGG
RNAcentral lists this ribosomal RNA (253 nucleotides) under uncultured bacterium. RNAcentral's name for it is "partial 16S ribosomal RNA". It matches the Rfam family "Bacterial small subunit ribosomal RNA", at positions 524 to 776 of the family's 1533-position model. The record is from RNAcentral.